RNAcentral lists this ribosomal RNA (156 nucleotides) under uncultured archaeon. RNAcentral's name for it is "partial 16S ribosomal RNA". It matches the Rfam family "Archaeal small subunit ribosomal RNA", at positions 319 to 477 of the family's 1478-position model. The record is from RNAcentral.
UCCCUACGGGGCGCACCAGGCGCGAAACCUCUGCAAUAGGCGAAAGCUUGACAGGGUUACUCUGAGUGAUUUCCGUUAAGGAGAUCUUUUGGCACCUCUAAAAAUGGUGCAGAAUAAGGGGUGGGCAAGUCUGGUGUCAGCCGCCGCGGUAAUACA